This 107-nucleotide microRNA precursor is filed under the name Glossina austeni. RNAcentral describes it as "microRNA mir-263". It matches the Rfam family "mir-263 microRNA precursor family". Lineage: Eukaryota; Metazoa; Arthropoda; Insecta; Diptera; Glossinidae. The record is from RNAcentral. RNAcentral also lists the same sequence under 3 other names.
ACACUCGGCACAGUUAAUGGCACUGGAAGAAUUCACGGGCUUUUAAAAGUUAUUUCUUAUAUAAUAUCUACCCGUGAUCUCUUAGUGGCAUCUAUGGUGCAGGGUUA